UUUCGUUGUGUGCGGCCCUACCUAUACGUAUACGUGUAUCUACAAAUCGCAUAACAAAUAUUGUACGUACAAUGGAAUUGUGUAAUGGUUGCUCCGCGGCGCCGCACGACGGAAAAUCGUGACGCCUCUCGAACGAUAAAGUGCCUCGUCGCAGUGCAAAUAAUCAUCCGCCGCCGACCAACUGGCGGCACACAGAAGGCAAAAUACAACAUGGCGGAGAGAGAGACGGCAGAGAAGCCUCGUGACGUGUUACCGUUGCUACAUAAUUAGCGCGCGAAAAUAGAUUUUUGCGAAACGAGCCGAGCUCCGCUCUGGUAUGUCAAUGAAAACAAAUCCUUGUUCCCCUUUUUUCCCCUCUCCUGCUCCCUUUCUCUUUGUCGAGGCCUGGUAGCUCAGGCGAAGGCCGCCGAAUACUGAAAUAUACACGCCGUUCGGAAUAGUCGAAUCAUUGUUUGCUCGAUCGAGUCCUCGGUAUCGUUUUGCUUCUCGCCAAACCGACCUAGCUUCCGAAAUAACAGGCACGGCUUCCCCGCAUCUAUCUAUAUCCUGGUCCUCGAAACCUACGCUCCAUCGAAAGAAAUUCAUUGCAGAAAUUGAACAGAAACUUGACAAGCGGUUGUCAUUGUUUUAGAUAGCACCACUAGCGUAGAAUUGAAGAAAAAUCGUAAGACAGUGAUUAGUGGAAUUUAACUCUCGAGGAUUGCACUGCGAAUCGCGGCAAUCAAAGCACAACAAGGUUGUAUAAUAUUUUAACAGUUAAUAUAAAUGCUUAUAUGUACUUAUCAUCGCUCCCCUACGUGCAGGCGGUGCGUAUAAAGCAAUAAAGAGACACAAUUGUGCAAACAUAUAAAUGUAAUUGGAACAGUUGCGACACGUGCGGCCUUGUCUAUAUAAUGCAGAAAAUUUGCAUCGAUAUCCGGCAAAGAAAAUUUAUCCUUUGAUCGUUCUAAUUUCCCGUUGAACGCCGUCAUUUCCAUGGGAAUAUUAAAAAAGCAUUUCUGUGCUCUUUGAAGCAAAUAUGAAACCGAGGUACGACAUUACCUUUGUAUCGUUAUUACAACAACACUCUUCAGCAAAGCACGGAAAACAAAUUUUUCUUUUCGA
Molecule: long non-coding RNA, 1104 nt
Organism: Bombus huntii
Lineage: Eukaryota; Metazoa; Arthropoda; Insecta; Hymenoptera; Apidae
Exons: 2
Source: RefSeq, a predicted model, not a curated record